AUGAAAGGUGACCUGUUUCCGGUACACAGCUGAUCAAACAUUGGGGCAGACGGUGUAGCUGAUUAUUGUUGGUUUUUGUUGCUGUUAUUGUUUUGAGAAGCAAAUUGACGAUGCCAAUACGAGAAUUCACAUACACAGGUGGUGACCUUGAGGUGACCCCUCAGAUGCUGUCGGACUUCAAUGAAGCUGGCUACAUUCUUGUCAGAGGCCUCCUAGACAGUGUGGAGUUGAAAAAGGUCCAGGAGUGCCUGGAAGGCAGUGAUGCUAUCAUGAAGCAUGCAUAUGGGAUUUCUGAUGGUGAGGAUCGUGAGAGCAAGCUGUGCAUCUGGAGCCACCCCGGGGAUGAUGUGACGGGCAUGGUGGGGCGCUGUGAGAAGGUGGUCACAACAUCAGAGAAGUUGCUUGGAGGGGAGGUGUAUCAUUACCACACCAAGCUGAUGAUGAAGGAAGCAUUUACUGGGGGCAAGCACGUGUGGCAUCAGGAUUAUGGAUACUGGUACAAAAAUGGCUGUCUGUUCCCUGACAUGUUGACCGUCUUCAUCUCCAUUGAUGCAUGUACCAAGGCUAAUGGUUGUCUCCAGAUUCUAGAGGGGUCUCAUCGCUGUGGUCGGAUCGAGCACCUGUAUGUUGGUGACCAGACUGGAGCUGACCUUGCUCGGGUCAAGGAGCUACAAGGUCAACUGGAGCAACUGUAUGUGGAGAUGAAGCCAGGUGAUGCCCUGUUCUUUCACUCUAACCUGCUGCACACCUCCAGCCCCAACACCAGCCCCGACCGCCGCUGGGCAUUCCUGUGUGCCUACAACCGUGCCAGCAACAACCCGGUGUAUGAGCAUCAUCACCCCCAGUACACCCCACUAGUCAAGGUGCCCAACAGCGCCAUCCGAGACUGUGUCAACCUGACCGACACAUCAGGGAAAGACUUUGUGGACCCAUCUAAAGACAGGACAGUGAAGAAGGGGGACGCAGCAGUCCCCAGCACGAAGCGCCAGAAGUUGUCAGCGUAGCCUCCUCCCGAUGUCCUUCAUCUGCAACAAUGGUCAGCUGGUGGUUGAUUAGAACCUUAACACAGGGUGCUGACUGUCAGCAUCACUGCUAUCAGUUAUCAGUAGACGAGGAUCAAGCUCUGGAGACCAUAUAUAAUGACCACCUGGGAUAUAUUGUUUUAAACUCAUUUUGUCUACAGCUGUUUCUUCAGACUCACCAUCCAUUUUUCCAAUUUUGCUUGAGUUUCUUCUUGUCACCUUCACACAGUUCUCUAGAUGCCAACCACUACACCAUGGCCUGUAUCAAAAUGAUAUAUAAAAUUUGAACCAAGCAUAUAGGUAAUUUUAUUUUAAAAAAAGAAUGUUCCCAGUAAACCGUGCUGGACAUCAAUUCAACAGUGGUUAAUGGAUUAUAGUUCUGAAUUACUUCAUUUUGACCACAAUUGCUUGAGGUGGAGGCCUGUAGUGUUGCUCCAGUGGUGGAGGAGGGAGGCUGGGGGUGUGGUUCACUAUGGUAACAUGCUACCCCAGCUGCUAUAGUGCACCCCGACACCACGAUGUCAUGUUGUGAAAUGUAUAAUAACCAAGAUUUGUACUCUGUAUCACUUCCAUCAAAACUUUGGGAUAUACAUGUAUUACUGUGUCCAUGGACAUAAUUCUAGCUUCAGUCAUAUUGCUACAUUCAUACACUAUCAUCCUGGAUCAACUUGAACCAUGUCAGCCUAUGCAAUAUCUCAUCCCAGUAUAUAUUUUCAGAAACAUGCCCUAAUGGUCUCUGUACAUACUUCAGUGUUUAUUUGAAAGUUUGCUUAUAGAAGAGAUUAUGUGUUUUGGUUCUGGACAAACAACCAUGCUGAUAUUGUAACAACUAAAGACCUCGUUGAUCAUGAAGACAGAUGACUAUGUAUUCAUAAUGUGUAAUGACAGCUGACGUUUGUUUGAUUGACUAUGACACCUUAGUAUUGUGGAUCAACAUUGCCCUGAAGUCAACCGUGGCAACCCAGAAGGUGUGGUCAUCAUUGCCCUGAAGUCAACCGUGGCAACCCAGAAGGUGUGGUCAACAUUGCCCUGAAGUCAAAACAGGCAUUUAGCAUAGUUGUCUUAUUCAAACUAACGUGGACCUGAUUGACCUGAACAAAAUCUUAAAUACCUCUAUUUGCACAACUGUCUUGAAAGGCCAUGUGAACAUAAGUUGUUCCAAAUCAUCCAUCUUUGUCCAAAUGUUUUACAAGUUAAUGGUGCAGAUGAACAUAUAAGUUCCCAUUAGUUUUACAUGUUCUAUACUUUGACCUUUAUACUUUGACAGUACUAAAAAUGGACAUAUUUUGCUGCCACUAGUCAAUCUUUCUGUGUCAAUUUGAAAUGAAAUUUGGUAUUUGGUAUGCAUGUAAUUUGAUGUGAAUUUCACAUUGCUAAAUUUAAUAUUUUGAAUUGGUCGUACUUUUGAAUUUCCUAAAACUUCACACUGGCUCUGUAAACUUCUUCCCUCUUGAAUGGCUAACAGGUGAAGAAGCUGUGCUUUGCUAUAUAUGUUUUUCCUUCCGAGGACAUCAUAAGUGGUUCAAAUUAUGUCUUUUAUAAGUUUUUAAUCAUCAGCACCAGUAUUUAUGCUGAAAACACUUUUGAAUUGCAAUGCUGUUAGCAACUUUGUUGACGUUUUAAAGUGGAGACUAAAUAUGAGCUACAGUGAGUAAAACUAUGCCCUUAGAGAAAUGCAGAUGAAAUCUUCAGUGUCUCCACGCAUCUUUCACCUACAAUUCUCCUGAAAGUCACUCUCACCAGCUGUUAUCUGUUGUCAGGACAAUAGAAUCACAACAUUUCACAUUGUGCCCUUAGAUUUCCUGAAUGUUCAGAAAGUUCCAAAUACAUUCAACUGUUAUAUGGGAUGUUUUUAUAUGUUAUAUUUCUAUAUGUUAUAGAUGUUACUAGUUUCACCUUUUUCAUUCUCUUCAUUUUUAUCAGACAUAUUCACAUGGUAGAAUAGAAUUUUGAUAACCACACUUAUAAAUAAUCAAGGGAGGAGAAAAAGUCUAUUGUGUGGACUGAAGUAAAGUUGAACCUUGCUAGCCUGGACUGUACAGAAUUCAGGAAAUGAGCCAAACUAACAAAUGUCCGCAUUAAGGAAUCAGGGUUAUAGAAUUUCUUCUGAUAUUCAGAGAGGGUUUCAAGGUUCCACUGUUUAUUUGGAAGUCACAGCUUGAACUUUGUAUAAGUAUGUGGACAGACUUGUGAACAGUGACUGAUCUGCUUCUAUCAUUGUUUAGUGCAGUGUCAGUUCACAUGAGUAGUUUAGUGUUAUCUAUUUUUAUUGGUUUUACGCAGGGUUUCAUUUGUAUUAAUGCAUUUUUUGUCAAUUAACUUUCUAAAGUGGCACUUGCCAUGUCUUGUUGUCUACUGGGAUAUGUGUGGAGCACCUUGCAGGGUGUCAAAUGACGUAUUUCACUUACACUAGGGGGCACGGAAGUUAAUCUGGGUAUAUUUUAGCUCAACAGCCCGUAUGUCUUUCAGUAUGAGUUGAGUUUAAUACCCAUUUCUGGACUUAUGUGAUGUCACAUUGUUAAUCCUGAAAUGAAAAACUGGAAACUUUGUAAUGGAUUAUGACCAAUAAAUAUGUUUAUUUUCAAAGUU
RNAcentral lists this unclassified non-coding RNA (3611 nucleotides) under Haliotis rubra (blacklip abalone). Its description in RNAcentral is "l-proline trans-4-hydroxylase-like, transcript variant X2". The record is from RNAcentral. Lineage: Eukaryota; Metazoa; Mollusca; Gastropoda; Lepetellida; Haliotidae.